CAGGCCUAACACAUGCAAGUCGAACGAUACCUUUCGGGGUAUAGUGGCGCACGGGUGCGUAACGCGUGGGAAUCUGCCCUGGGGUUCGGGAUAACCGUUGGAAACGACGGCUAAUACCGGAUGAUGAUGAAAAUCCAAAGAUUUAGCGCCCUGGGAUGAGCCCGCGUCGGAUUAGCGAGUUGGUGGGGUAAAGGCCUACCAAGGCGACGAUCCUGAGCUGGGAUGAGAGGAUGAGCAGCCACACUGGGACUGAGACACGGCCCAGACGCCGACGGGAGGCAGCAGUGGGGAAGAUUGGACAAUGGGCGCAAGCCUGAGCCAGCAAUGCCGCGGGAGUGAUGAAGGCCUGAGGGUUGGAAAGCGAUUUGAGCCGGGACGAGAAUGACGGAACCGGAGGAAGAAGCCCCGGCGAACUGAGUGCCAGCAGCCGCG
This 432-nucleotide ribosomal RNA is filed under the name uncultured bacterium. Its description in RNAcentral is "bacterial SSU rRNA". It matches the Rfam family "Bacterial small subunit ribosomal RNA", at positions 43 to 519 of the family's 1533-position model. The record is from RNAcentral.